This 671-nucleotide long non-coding RNA is filed under the name Setaria viridis. RNAcentral describes it as "long non-coding RNA (SVIR_LNC007686)". The record is from RNAcentral. Lineage: Eukaryota; Viridiplantae; Streptophyta; Magnoliopsida; Poales; Poaceae.
GACGGUGGAUGCCGCUGCUCCGGUGAUGGCUGUUGAGAGGAGAAGCUUUACAUCUGUACUGCUGUUCACACGGGACCCGAGGGCGUGCGGGACCCGAGGACGGGCUGCUCCCUCCUUUGCUCCGGUCGCCGCAAGUCAUGAGUACCCUGCGGCGAAUGGGAGUCAGCCGCCGGCACUGUACCCCGCACAGGAUGGUCGUGCACGGGUACUUGCGCCGGGUUGCGUGGGGAGCGCGGUCGCCCUGCCCUCUGCCAGAACUGCGGCGCAUUUACGGCGAGUGUGACGGGGGGGACCCGCAGGAUUUGUCUUGUCUUAUGUGAACCGCAUCCGAGGGGGUCUCCGGACUUGUGGGCCCUAGUGCGCCCGACCCCUCCGCUUAGGGUCGGGCGAGGCGGAGAACUUCGUGGCGAGGGGUCGGGCGCCCCCGACCCUGGGAUCGCAGUUGGACGAGGCGGAAAAUCUUGCGGGAGGGGGGUCGGGUUUUCCCGAUCCUGACGCCCGGGUCGGGCGAGGCGAAAAUUUGAUCAGGCUUUGGUGGGCCUGGGCCUCCAUGUUCGCUUCUUUGAGCAGCGUGUUAGGGGGUCGUUAAUAUUUCCCCCCAACACUAUCGUUCAUGACGAUGCAUGGUUGCCACAAAUUCCUUUGUGAAUUUCUUCUAGGAUUUCUUGGCC